GAUGAAGAACGCAGUGAAAUGCGAUAAGUAAUGUGAAUUGCAGAAUUCAGUGAAUCAUCGAAUCUUUGAACGCACAUUGCGCCCGCCAGUAUUCUGGCGGGCAUGCCUGUUCGAGCGUCAUUUCAACCAUCAAGCCCCGGGCUUGUGUUGGGGACCUGCGGCUGCCGCAGGCCCUGAAAUGCAGUGGCGGGCUCGCUGUCACUCCGAGCGUAGUAGUUACAUCUCGCUCUGGGCGUGCUGCGGGUUCCGGCCGUUAAAAGCCUUAUUUACCCAAGGUUGACCUCGGAUCAGGUAGGAAGCCCCGCUGAACUUAAGCAUAUCAAUAAGCGGAGGA
Molecule: unclassified non-coding RNA, 334 nt
Filed under: soil metagenome
Description: partial contains 5.8S ribosomal RNA, internal transcribed spacer 2, and large subunit ribosomal RNA
Rfam family: 5.8S ribosomal RNA (bases 1-120)
Source: RNAcentral